AUGACCGCGGAUCCCCCAACCUCCCAUGUUCCUCCUAACCUCUUUCACCCCUCUCCUGAUGUGCUCCAUGCUGCUCUCGCGACAGAGAUGACGGUGAACCUUUGGUUGCACGGCGCGGCGGCUCGCCAUGGGACUCGACGGUACGGUGGCCAGUCCCGUGACACCAUGCCUCUCCCACCUCUUUCGGUGGCUUUCUCUGCUGCCCCUGGAGCUCAACGUGGAGGGACUCGCCAUGCAUCGCGCAUCGUUCUGGACGCGGCUGCCCACAACCCUGCAAGUCGACUGUUCCAACGCCCACCAAGUGUACGACGUAAUGUUUGGACAACUGUAGGUAAAAGAAAAUCAGUUCUAUCCAUAAACCGUGUCAAAGGAUCCUCCAUGGAAUCUUCGAACAGAUCAAUGGAUAAAGCAAAAGAAAAUCCAUACGUGGUUCUGUCAGGCCUGCUGCUUCAGGUCAUCCUCCUCAAGAGUGACAGAGAUGGGAGGCUCUUCUACAAGCUCAUGAUCGACAUCAGGGAGCUGCAUAUCCUUAUUUAUAGAGAUAAUUAG
Molecule: ribosomal RNA, 549 nt
Filed under: Triticum aestivum (bread wheat)
Lineage: Eukaryota; Viridiplantae; Streptophyta; Magnoliopsida; Poales; Poaceae
Description: partial small subunit ribosomal RNA
Source: RNAcentral